Molecule: long non-coding RNA, 2130 nt
Filed under: Pomacea canaliculata
Lineage: Eukaryota; Metazoa; Mollusca; Gastropoda; Architaenioglossa; Ampullariidae
Description: uncharacterized LOC112565186
Source: RNAcentral
AAGUCAUCAAAGCGCGCUGCAGAUUGAAGGGAUCAGGAAUCGUAAUAUCAGAGGACCUAACACAUUUAAACAUCCAAAGACUUAAUCGUCUCAAACAACAAGAAGGAGUGGUUGACGCAUGGUCGGCAGCAGGAGGUAGGCUGUUUGCAAAACUUCGAGAUUCCAGUGUGGUAGAAAUAAAAAGUGGAGACACGAGUCCCAUAGACAGGAAGCUAACUGAGUUACACAACGAACAAAGAAGUCAACACCAAAGGAGGAGCGAGGGCAACCCGCAACGCUUCCCUCAGGAUACCCUUCAGAGACAGCAUGUUCACCGGCCGCAAAUUCAUCAGCAGUCGACCCAUAAAGAAAAAGCUCAGCGGGGACUAUCAACACCUCCCUCUCAGCUCUCAAGAUCCAGCCAUUCUACCCCAACUACACCUACAUCAGCCGCGGAAGCAGGUUCGCCCCAACCAGAUCAACAAACCGUGAAUGAAGUGACUGAGGUGUGCAGGGGAUGAGCAAGUGUGUAUAUAAAGGAUAUUACUUGUGCAAAAAACAAUUCUAUUUCUCAACACCAGCUUACUGGCUGUUUACAGACACCUGUGUAAAGUGUGACGUCGAUGGUUACUGAAGACCGCCUGCAAUUGUCCUCCUCUGACCAGGUGGCGCCAUCACACACAACAUUAAGAUAAGAGAAUUUACAUCAGAAAGGAAUUAUAACACGAUCGUCACUAGGAGCAUCUUUUAUGCGCUAGAAUCAAGCUGAAUCGACAGACUUCCAUGUGAAGAAGUGCCGCCAUUCCUCAACAAGAAUUGUCCACGACUUCCUCACCGGGGAUCAGUCACGUGACCUGAGGGUCAACAGUUCGUCUUGGGGAUCGUGGAUACAAAAGAUAGGCCAUCAACUCAGUCUGUACCUUUGAUGCUCUGGUCAUCAUACAUACCAAAGUGUCUACAGUAACCCUGUCCUAAGGCUUAACAGUAUUGACACCAUAUCAUUGUCCCUCUAAGCGUCUGAGAAGAAAGAGAUUCCGGAGGUUUAACGGUAAAUGCGACGACAAGCCUUUUACUGUUUGAACCAAAAACUUUUCCAGCAAGGAACAAGUUUUUCCAAGCUCCGAAAUUUCAGCAUUUACUCACAUGUCCGUGUUCAUGUAUCUCUGAGCACGACAAACACACGUUGACACGAUAUCCGUGACGAGCGAGUGUUUGGUUGACAAAUUGUUUAGACACGAAAAAUGUUUCAUGAAUUCACAUUUCCAGAUUGUGAAGAGUAAACACUAGAAAUCUAUACUUCACCGUUAUUCUGAUGCCAGCAAUCCUUUAGAACUGUUUUGUGAUUCAAAGUCCGGUCACGUGCGCGUGUUUGUGCGUGCGCAUGCGCGUGAUAGUGAUGGCGGUUUGUUGGACUACCCCUAGUGUAAGAAAUGUUGCUCGUGGGAGGUUUGUCUUGCGAUAGAGUUAUUACACUGUCGAUGUAUCUUGCUUCGGUAUCAACCCACCCUGGAAUAUGCCGUGCGACAGACGCAUGACCUGCUGCGACAGACGCAUGACCUGCUGCGACAGACGCAUGACCUGCUGCGUCCAAAGCACAAGCACGAACACCAAGCAAUCCCACAAAGCAUCACAACCAGAACUAGUGCGGUGUAACUUUUACGAGACAUUUUAUUGCCCUUAAAAUGCUUUUCCCAGAAACAUUUUAGUGUGCGGAAUGCUUUUUAUGAGCAACACCAGCACGUGAAAACCGAGAGGCUGACGAGUACAAGCAAACACUCUCGCAAGUGAUGGACACGCAGGAAACACGUCUGGAGAACUUUGGUAACUUUCAUAGAAUAAUGUUUGUAUGUCGGCUAUUGUAGGGUGUUAUGGGUGUUAGGUAGCAUACGAUGCUUUCAUGUUUCUCCAACAUUUUCUCUUUUAUUAGGUUUGUUUGCUCAGUCUUUUGCUGGAUGUGGGUUAUAGACAACGAUUAGCAAUACAUCAGCUCUCCGACUUUCUCUUUAUAUGGGUCUCUGGUUGUGUCACAUAGAAAAAGAAGAAAUGAAGUUCAUAAAUAAAAAUAAUAAUUGUGAAACUUAUUCGUGAACCCACGUGACUUGAAGCUGGUGGAAAGCAUGUGAUGUUGCUCUUGAUUGCUGGACGCUUUGC